Small nucleolar RNA from Thalassophryne amazonica, 83 nucleotides. RefSeq annotates it as small nucleolar RNA SNORD72. Lineage: Eukaryota; Metazoa; Chordata; Actinopteri; Batrachoidiformes; Batrachoididae. The transcript has a single exon. The record is from RefSeq and is a predicted model, not a curated record.
AUCUUGUCAGUGAUGCUUUCAAACACAAAUGUCUGAAUAUAUGACUCUGUGUGAUUAUUACUUUUUUCUUACUGAGACAAGAU